This 786-nucleotide unclassified non-coding RNA is filed under the name Hevea brasiliensis (rubber tree). Lineage: Eukaryota; Viridiplantae; Streptophyta; Magnoliopsida; Malpighiales; Euphorbiaceae. The record is from RNAcentral.
AAAAAAAAAAAAAAAAAAAAAAAUUAAAAUUAAAAAAAAAAAUCUCCUAGAUUAACUAGGAAAGAACAACGUAAACACAGAUGGGAAUAAAACUUAUAACUCGCUUCUAAACACAACAUAAACAUCUGAAGAUAGUGAUUUACCAGGCCUCCCCUCCCAAAACAAGUAAUUGGAUUUUACCAUAUUGAGCACUAGUGACUACACAAAAGCCCCAACAUCCAAAAGGUCUAAGGUUUCCAAGUGGUUAAUGGAAAAGGAUUUGUAUUGGAAAAUUGAGUAACAUGAAUAUAGAAGAACUUGAAGGAAAAUUUUUCGGAAUCGUCGCAAGUCAAAAGUUUCAAAUCAAUUCUAUUUUAAGUGAGAAGAGAAAAGAACAUUUCACUCUCAAGCAAGAUAAUUUUCUAAAAUGAGAAUUUGAAUGGAGUCCAUGUGUUUUCUCAAAAGCAUAAAGAGAACUAUCUCCAAUGUUGUGCUAGAUUGACAUAGAAAAAAUAAUGAUAUGCACACAAGAUGAACUUCAAAGAACAUGCGUAAGUAUCAUUAACUCUUGGAUUGAUAUCCCACUUGCGAUACUAAGGCUUAACUUCAAAUCAUCCCAUGCCAAAGGGAUUCAGACUAUACAAUGGAGCAAUAAAGCAAAGAGAGUAAAGAGCCAAAGACAAACACUGGCCAACCAAAAUUAAAUGAGAAUGAUCCAUCCAAUUUUUCCAAGCAUCUAACGUUUAAAUGGUAGCACUUGAUCCCAAAGUUUUUUUUUUUUAACAAAAAAAAAAAAAAAAAAAAAAA